RNAcentral lists this transfer RNA (73 nucleotides) under Pseudomonas lutea. RNAcentral's name for it is "tRNA_Ala_GGC". It matches the Rfam family "tRNA". Rfam says of the family: Transfer RNA (tRNA) molecules are approximately 80 nucleotides in length. Their secondary structure includes four short double-helical elements and three loops (D, anti-codon, and T loops). Further hydrogen bonds mediate the characteristic L-shaped molecular structure. tRNAs have two regions of fundamental functional importance: the anti-codon, which is responsible for specific mRNA codon recognition, and the 3' end, to which the tRNAs corresponding amino acid is attached (by aminoacyl-tRNA synthetases). tRNAs cope with the degeneracy of the genetic code in two manners: having more than one tRNA (with a specific anti-codon) for a particular amino acid; and 'wobble' base-pairing, i.e. permitting non-standard base-pairing at the 3rd anti-codon position. The record is from RNAcentral. Lineage: Bacteria; Pseudomonadati; Pseudomonadota; Gammaproteobacteria; Pseudomonadales; Pseudomonadaceae.
GGGGCUAUAGCUCAGCUGGGAGAGCGCUUGCAUGGCAUGCAAGAGGCCGACGGUUCGAUCCCGUCUAGCUCCA